CUGCAUAGGAGAGGCAAUACGUGGUGCUC
RNAcentral lists this non-coding RNA (29 nucleotides) under Homo sapiens (human). Lineage: Eukaryota; Metazoa; Chordata; Mammalia; Primates; Hominidae. The record is from RNAcentral.